RNAcentral lists this small nucleolar RNA (139 nucleotides) under Bombyx mori (domestic silkworm). RNAcentral describes it as "Bm_96". The record is from RNAcentral. Lineage: Eukaryota; Metazoa; Arthropoda; Insecta; Lepidoptera; Bombycidae.
ACUCGCAUGGUUCCACAGACCGUGCGCUUUUCAUAGCCACUGUCUUCUAUAGAAACAUGCAAGAAAAACAUUUCCAUUUCUCCAAUUUCGGUUAUUUCUGCUAUAGAUAUAAUCACAGAGGAAUGUUAGUUACACUUUU